CCCUUAGAUGUUCUGGGCCGCACGCGCGCUACACUGAUGCAUUCAACGAGCCUAUCCUUGACCGACAGGUCCGGGUAAUCUUUGAAUCUGCAUCGUGACGGGGAUAGAUUAUUGCAAUUAUUAAUCUUCAACGAGGAAUGCCUAGUAGGCGCAAGUCAUCAGCUUGCGUCAAUUACGUCCCUGCCCUUUGUACACACCGCCCGUCGCUCCUACCGAUUGGGUGUGCUGGUGAAAUGUUCGGAUCGGCCGUUUGUCGCGGUUUCCGCGGCUCGUGGCUGAGAAGUUCAUUAAACCCUCCCACCUAGAGGAAGGAGAAGUCGUAACA
RNAcentral lists this ribosomal RNA (325 nucleotides) under uncultured eukaryote. Its description in RNAcentral is "partial 18S ribosomal RNA". It matches the Rfam family "Eukaryotic small subunit ribosomal RNA", at positions 1470 to 1796 of the family's 1831-position model. The record is from RNAcentral.